GUCGCAGUAGCUGCCUCACAGCCCGGUUUUUCCGGGUCCCGGCGGGGCAGGGCCACGCUCACAGCCCGGGCGGCACCAUGAAGUCUCUAAAGAAGGAGUCCCGCCUUAGAAUACCUACGAACAGAAUCUUGGAGUCCCCAGAGAGCGUGAAAGAAAAGAAGCGGGCAAAGAUACCUGAACAGCCCACACCACCCAUUCAGGAAGAACCUGAACCUGUUAGCAAUGUCCUACAAGGAGAUGACAUUCGUGCCUUAGCCAUUAAGAAGGAAGACUUGAGGAAGCAACAUAUUCCUCACCUUAUUGAAACAGAAGAUAAACCUGCAAUUACCCAGAAACUUAUCAUCCGUAAACUCAAACCCAAGGAUCAUAGGAAGAAGAUCUGCCACUUAGUAGCACAUCCUGCUACUCCAGAUGCAGCCACGAAGCCCCUGGACUACUCUGGGCCAGGUGACAUCCUCCAUGGCAGUGACCAGAUCCUGCCCCACCACAUCUUGGGGAGUCUCCAGGACUUUAAGAGGAUUGCAGUUGCUCGAGGGAACACCCAGCUGGCUGAGCUGAUACACACCCCACCCUGUCUGAUGACCCUCAUCUCAGCUAAAGAAGAGCCGAAGCAGGAAGCCCCCAAAGGAGAGAAGGCACAUCCUCCCUGGGCCCCACCUCUUCAGCACAACUUUCUGAAAAACUGGCAGCGCAACAUAGCCCUUCGGAAGAAGCAGCAGGAAACCCUCAGUGAACGGCUGAAGAAGCCAGUCGGCGAGCUGCUGAUGCACACGGGCGAGACCUACAGAAAGAUCCAGGAGGAACGGGAGCUCCUUGACCGAACACUGCCAGCACGGCCUGAUGGGAAGGGCUGUGAAUUGACCAGUGGGUUCUGGAGUCAACCGGAAUACUUGGGAGAUGAAAUGACGGGUCUGGUAAUGACGAAGACAAAAACUCAGCGUGGCCUCGUGGAACCAGUCACUCACAUCAGGAAGCCCCGCUCCAUCCAGGUGGAGAUGGGAUUGCCAGCCCAGAAGGAUGCUUGGUACCGCUACACCUGGGAUCGGAGUCUGUUUCUGAUCUACCGACGCAAGGAACUACAGAGCGUCAUGGCAGAGCUGGAUUUUAGCCAGCAGGAUAUUGAUGGCCUGGAGGUGGUGGGCAAAGGGCGGCCUUUCUCCACUGUUACGGUGGAAGAAUAUUCAGUGUUUGAAAGGAGCCAGGAAAGCUCCUCUGAAGACACAGUGCACUUAGACUUAUUGGCCAAUUACCCUGAUGAGGUCCCUAUGCCUAUUCUUGGCCCUUCUCUGCUGUUCUGUGGGAAGCCAGCUUGCUGGAUCCGAGGCAGUAACCCAGAGGACAAGAGGCAUGUUGGAAUUGCUGUCCGCUUGACCUUUGAAACUCUAGAAGGGGAGAAAGCAUCUUCAGAACUGACCGUGGUCAAUAAUGGCACAGUGGCCAUUUGGUAUGACUGGCGGCGGAGGUCCCAGCUGGACUCUUUCCAAGACCUGAAGAGGAAUAGGAUGCAGCGGUUUUACUUCAACAAUCGGGAAGGUGUGAUUCUGCCUGGAGAAACUAGAAACUUUACCUUCUUCUUUAAGUCUUUGAAUGCUGGGAUCUUCAGGGAGUGUUGGGAGUUUGGAACCCACCCCACCCUAUUAGGAGGCGCUCUCCUGCAGGUCAAUCUCCAUGCAGUCUCCCUGACCCAGGACAUUUUUAGGGAUGAGAGGAAGUUAUUGGAGAACAAGCUGGCUUCCCACGAAGCAGUCACCAUCGUGGAGAGCAUGCUACAGGAGCUGCUGAGGGGGAUCCUGACCCCGGAGCGUGCACAGUCACCUGUGGACGCCUAUCUCACCGAGGAGGACUUGUUCCACCAUAGAAAUCCUCGGCUGCAUUACCAGCACCAAGUGGUGCAAAACCUGCACAGACUGUGGUGCCAGUACACCAUCCUGCCCCCCAAGGCUGAGGAGGCCAGGCCGGGCAAGGAGGAGCACCUCAGUCCCAGGGCCCAGGCUGCUGCGGCCCCGUCAGCCUAUUGGGAGGAGGCCUCGAUGAAGGUCAAGUCUUCUGUGCACCUUAAGAGCCCAGCGUUGGACCCCCAACUGCCCCGGCAGGAGAGUGAGGCCCUCAGGGAUUCCCGAAAUCCUGUUGGGUCCCAGAAGACUGGUCUGGGUUCUCAGCAGAAGAGCAUCAUGGAGGAGAUCCUGGUGGAGGGGAGCCCAGACCUGGAGAGUGUCCGGAGCUCCCGGGAGCUAGAAGGCCUUCCCCCACCAGAGUGGAACCUCUGCCUGGAGGACUUCAGAAAGAGGACACAGGAGCCCCUGGUGUCCUGGGCAGAACGGUUGCCCAUGGUACCUCUGACCGGCCAGGUAGUGAUGGCACUCCCUGAGGAGAACCAGAGAGAAGAUGCCCUAAUCUGGCUCAACAAAGCGGCCCUGGAGCUGUGCCAGGAACCGCGGCCGUCGCAGUCCGACUUCCUGUACCAGAUGUGUUUGCAGCUGUGGCGAGAUGUGAUUGACAGCCUGGUAAGCCAUUCCCUGUGGCUGAGGGCUCUGCUGGACCUGCCUGAGAAGGAGACCAUCUACUUGCACGUGCCAGAAGAGCAAGAUCGAAAGUCACCUGCUGUCACAGAAGUGAAGGUGACUUCCGGGAGAGUGGGGAAGGAGGACCGGAAAGGGCCAUCUCAAGAAAAGAAGCAGUUGGGAAUCAAAGACAAAGAUGAGAAAAAAGGAGCCAAGCUGCCACCGGGGAAAGAGGCAGGACCGUUUAAACAGCAAGAAGCACAAAGCAAAGGAUGACAAGAAAUCAAUGAAAUCUACAAGUCGGGACAGGCUUUCCUCUGAAGACCCUGCCCCUGACAGCAUCAUCCCGUCUCAGGAACCCAUAGAUCCCCUGGUCAUGGAGAAAUACACCCAGAGGCUGCAUACUGAGGGGACAUGGGUUUGAUCCCUGGUCUGGGAAGAUCCCACAUGCCGCGAAGCAACUAAGCCCGUGUGCCACAACUACUGAGCCUGCACUCUGGAGCCCGUGAGCCACAACUACUGAGCCCAUGUGCCACGACUACUGAAGCCCACGUGCUCUAGGACCUGUGUGCUGCAGCUUCUGAGCCCGUGUGCUGCACCUACUGAAGCCUGUGCACCUAGAGCCCGUGCUCUGCAACAAGAGAAGCCACCGCAAUGAGAAGCCCAUGCACUGCAACGAAGAGUAGCCCCAGCUCGCUGCAGCUAGGGAAAGCCCAUGUGCAGCAACGAAGACCCAAAGCAGCAAAAAAACAAACAAACAAACAAAAAACUAUUUGCAAAAACAAAAGUCCUACAGAAAAUUUAGUUUUAUCUACACAACUUUAGUUGUCUCCCCUCUCCAGCUGUCCCUCUUGUGUAGGUGUGUCCAUCCAUCUCGCAGCAUGGGGGAUGCUCCCUUGUGCACGUGCUUUCCAGAGAGUGAACCUUUGCCUGUGAUGUUCAUCCCAUUCUUCCAGGUCUAUGGGCUGCUGGAUGCCCUGGUGACUGACUUGCUGGUCCUGGCUGAUGAGCUCAGCCCCAAAGAGAAUGUCAAGGAGCCUUUGCGUCUCUGCACCUGACUUGGGUGCCUGAGCUGCCUUCUGCGAAACUGCUUAACAAACAAAUCAAUAAAGAACCUUUAGGUUCCUACCACUUCCUUUAUGCCUCCAUGUCUUGAAUGUCAGAUCUUGAUGAAGUCAGCUCCUGGUCCUCCCAUAUCCC
Kogia breviceps (pygmy sperm whale) is the source of this 3701-nucleotide non-coding RNA. Lineage: Eukaryota; Metazoa; Chordata; Mammalia; Artiodactyla; Physeteridae. The record is from RefSeq and is a predicted model, not a curated record.